AUGCAAGUCGAGCGGACAGAUGGGAGCUUGCUCCCUGAUGUUAGCGGCGGACGGGUGAGUAACACGUGGGUAACCUGCCUGUAAGACUGGGAUAACUCCGGGAAACCGGGGCUAAUACCGGAUGGUUGUUUGAACCGCAUGGUUCAAACAUAAAAGGUGGCUUCGGCUACCACUUACAGAUGGACCCGCGGCGCAUUAGCUAGUUGGUGAGGUAACGGCUCACCAAGGCRACGAUGCGUAGCCGACCUGAGAGGGUGAUCGGCCACACUGGGACUGAGACACGGCCCAGACUCCUACGGGAGGCAGCAGUAGGGAAUCUUCCGCAAUGGACGAAAGUCUGACGGAGCAACGCCGCGUGAGUGAUGAAGGUUUUCGGAUCGUAAAGCUCUGUUGUUAGGGAAGAACAAGUACCGUUCGAAUAGGGCGGUACCUUGACGGUACCUAACCAGAAAGCCACGGCUAACUACGUGCCAGCAGCCGCGGUAAUACGUAGGUGGCAAGCGUUGUCCGGAAUUAUUGGGCGUAAAGGGCUCGCAGGCGGUUUCUUAAGUCUGAUGUGAAAGCCCCCGGCUCAACCGGGGAGGGUCAUUGGAAACUGGGGAACUUGAGUGCAGAAGAGGAGAGUGGAAUUUCCACGUGUAGCGGUGAAAUGCGUAGAGAUGUGGAGGAACACCAGUGGCGAAGGCGACUCUCUGGUCUGUAACUGACGCUGAGGAGCGAAAGCGUGGGGGAGCGAACAGGAUUAGAUACCCUGGUAGUCCACGCCGUAAACGAUGAGUGCUAAGUGUUAGGGGGUUUCCGCCCCUUAGUGCUGCAGCUAACGCAUUAAGCACUCCGCCUGGGGAGUACGGUCGCAAGACUGAAACUCAAAGGAAUUGACGGGGGCCCGCACAAGCGGUGGAGCAUGUGGUUUAAUUUCGAAGCAACGCGAAGAACCUUACCAGGUCUUGACAUCCUCUGACAAUCCUAGAGAUAGGACGUCCCCUUCGGGGGCAGAGUGACAGGUGGUGCAUGGUUGUCGUCAGCUCGUGUCGUGAGAUGUUGGGUUAAGUCCCGCAACGAGCGCAACCCUUGAUCUUAGUUGCCAGCAUUCAGUUGGGCACUCUAAGGUGACUGCCGGUGACAAACCGGAGGAAGGUGGGGAUGACGUCAAAUCAUCAUGCCCCUUAUGACCUGGGCUACACACGUGCUACAAUGGACAGAACAAAGGGCAGCGAAACCGCGAGGUUAAGCCAAUCCCACAAAUCUGUUCUCAGUUCGGAUCGCAGUCUGCAACUCGACUGCGUGAAGCUGGAAUCGCUAGUAAUCGCGGAUCAGCAUGCCGCGGUGAAUACGUUCCCGGGCCUUGUACACACCGCCCGUCACACCACGAGAGUUUGUAACACCCGAAGUCGGUGAGGUAACCUUUUAGGAGCCAGCCGCCGAAG
RNAcentral lists this ribosomal RNA (1427 nucleotides) under Bacillus subtilis. RNAcentral describes it as "16S ribosomal RNA". It matches the Rfam family "Bacterial small subunit ribosomal RNA". The record is from RNAcentral. Lineage: Bacteria; Bacillati; Bacillota; Bacilli; Caryophanales; Bacillaceae.